RNAcentral lists this ribosomal RNA (797 nucleotides) under uncultured bacterium. RNAcentral's name for it is "bacterial SSU rRNA". It matches the Rfam family "Bacterial small subunit ribosomal RNA", at positions 8 to 794 of the family's 1533-position model. The record is from RNAcentral.
AGAGUUUGAUCAUGGCUCAGAUUGAACGCUGGCGGCAGGCCUAACACAUGCAAGUCGAGCGGUAGCACAAGAGAGCUUGCUCUCUGGGUGACGAGCGGCGGACGGGUGAGUAAUGUCUGGGAAACUGCCUGAUGGAGGGGGAUAACUACUGGAAACGGUAGCUAAUACCGCAUAACGUCUUCGGACCAAAGUGGGGGACCUUCGGGCCUCACGCCAUCAGAUGUGCCCAGAUGGGAUUAGCUAGUAGGUGGGGUAAUGGCUCACCUAGGCGACGAUCCCUAGCUGGUCUGAGAGGAUGACCAGCCACACUGGAACUGAGACACGGUCCAGACUCCUACGGGAGGCAGCAGUGGGGAAUAUUGCACAAUGGGCGCAAGCCUGAUGCAGCCAUGCCGCGUGUGUGAAGAAGGCCUUCGGGUUGUAAAGCACUUUCAGCGAGGAGGAAGGGUAGUGUGUUAAUAGCACAUUGCAUUGACGUUACUCGCAGAAGAAGCACCGGCUAACUCCGUGCCAGCAGCCGCGGUAAUACGGAGGGUGCAAGCGUUAAUCGGAAUUACUGGGCGUAAAGCGCACGCAGGCGGUUUGUUAAGUCAGAUGUGAAAUCCCCGCGCUUAACGUGGGAACUGCAUUUGAAACUGGCAAGCUAGAGUCUUGUAGAGGGGGGUAGAAUUCCAGGUGUAGCGGUGAAAUGCGUAGAGAUCUGGAGGAAUACCGGUGGCGAAGGCGGCCCCCUGGACAAAGACUGACACUCAGGUGCGAAAGCGUGGGGAGCAAACAGGAUUAGAUACCCCGGUAGU